GACGAACGCUGGCGGCGUGCUUAACACAUGCAAGUCGAACGGAAAGGCCCUGCUUUUGUGGGGUGCUCGAGUGGCGAACGGGUGAGUAACACGUGAGUAACCUGCCCUUGACUUUGGGAUAACUUCAGGAAACUGGGGCUAAUACCGGAUAGGAGCUCCUGCUGCAUGGUGGGGGUUGGAAAGUUUCGGCGGUUGGGGAUGGACUCGCGGCUUAUCAGCUUGUUGGUGGGGUAGUGGCUUACCAAGGCUUUGACGGGUAGCCGGCCUGAGAGGGUGACCGGCCACAUUGGGACUGAGAUACGGCCCAGACGCCUACGGGAGGCAGCAGUGGGGAAUAUUGCCCAAUGGGCGGGAGCCUGAUGCAGCAACGCCGCGUGCGGGAUGACGGCCUUCGGGUUGUAAACCGCUUUCGCCUGUGACGAAGCGUGAGUGACGGUAAUGGGUAAAGAAGCACCGGCUAACUACGUG
Molecule: ribosomal RNA, 468 nt
Filed under: uncultured bacterium
Lineage: Bacteria
Description: partial 16S ribosomal RNA
Rfam family: Bacterial small subunit ribosomal RNA
Source: RNAcentral